UACGUAGGGUGCGAGCGUUGUCCGGAAUUACUGGGCGUAAAGAGCUCGUAGGCGGUUUGUCGCGUCGGGAGUGAAAUCCACUGGCUUAACUGGUGGCUUGCUUUCGAUACGGGCAGACUGGAGGUAUGCAGGGGAGAACGGAAUUCCUGGUGUAGCGGUGAAAUGCGCAGAUAUCAGGAGGAACACCGGUGGCGAAGGCGGGUCUCUGGGC
RNAcentral lists this ribosomal RNA (211 nucleotides) under uncultured bacterium. RNAcentral describes it as "partial 16S ribosomal RNA". It matches the Rfam family "Bacterial small subunit ribosomal RNA", at positions 524 to 734 of the family's 1533-position model. The record is from RNAcentral.